Long non-coding RNA from Phascolarctos cinereus (koala), 426 nucleotides. RefSeq lists it as uncharacterized. The record is from RefSeq and is a predicted model, not a curated record. Lineage: Eukaryota; Metazoa; Chordata; Mammalia; Diprotodontia; Phascolarctidae.
GUCCCUCUGGGCAAAGUACUUUGGGACCUGCCCUUAAAGGCCAGGGACUGAAAACACCAUCAGUUUUUGGUGCUGAAGUGCCUUGGCCCAGAUUGCUGGGGACAGAAAGAGCCCCUCAGCAGGGGCCUGGGGCUACUGGAGAAGGAAUGGCCAAGAGGCUAAGCUUGGCACUUAGUAGGGCAGGGGGCUUCAGCUUUGUAGACAUCUGUCCUCAUGGGCCUCUAGGCAAGAGGCAGCCAGGGUCUCUGCGCCUCCAUUUCCUGAUCUGUAAAACGAUGACAUCUGAUGGCCAUUCCAGCCGAGCUGCAGGACUGGGGCAGCCUUGGAGACAAGUGUGACCUAAUGGAAAAAGCCCGAGGCCGGGAGCAAGAACCUGAACUCUGCCAAUAACCUGCUGUGUAACUUAAUAAAAGAAUAAUAAUAAUA